CCUACGGGCGGCAGCAGUGGGGAAUAUUGCACAAUGGGCGCAAGCCUGAUGCAGCCAUGCCGCGUGUGUGAAGAAGGCCUUCGGGUUGUAAAGCACUUUCAGCGGGGAGGAAGGCGUUAAGGUUAAUAACCUUGUCGGUUGACGUUACCCGCAGAAGAAGCACCGGCUAACUCCGUGCCAGCAGCCGCGGUAAUACGGAGGGUGCAAGCGUUAAUCGGAAUUACUGGGCGUAAAGCGCACGCAGGCGGUCUGUCAAGUCGGAUGUGAAAUCCCCGGGCUCAACCUGGGAACUGCAUUCGAAACUGGCAGGCUAGAGUCUUGUAGAGGGGGGUAGAAUUCCAGGUGUAGCGGUGAAAUGCGUAGAGAUCUGGAGGAAUACCGGUGGCGAAGGCGGCCCCCUGGACAAAGACUGACGCUCAGGUGCGAAAGCGUGGGGAGCAAACAGGAUUAGAUACCCGGGUAGUC
This 465-nucleotide ribosomal RNA is filed under the name uncultured Klebsiella sp. RNAcentral describes it as "bacterial SSU rRNA". It matches the Rfam family "Bacterial small subunit ribosomal RNA", at positions 338 to 795 of the family's 1533-position model. Lineage: Bacteria; Pseudomonadati; Pseudomonadota; Gammaproteobacteria; Enterobacterales; Enterobacteriaceae. The record is from RNAcentral.